This 530-nucleotide ribosomal RNA is filed under the name uncultured bacterium. Its description in RNAcentral is "bacterial SSU rRNA". It matches the Rfam family "Bacterial small subunit ribosomal RNA", at positions 777 to 1304 of the family's 1533-position model. The record is from RNAcentral.
AAUAGAUACCCUGGUAGUCCACGCCGUAAACGAUGAGUGCUAAGUGUUAGGGGGUUUCCGCCCCUUAGUGCUGCAGCUAACGCAUUAAGCACUCCGCCUGGGGAGUACGGUCGCAAGACUGAAACUCAAAGGAAUUGGCGGGGGGCCCGCACAAGCGGUGGAGCAUGUGGUUUAAUUCGAAGCAACGCGAAGAACCUUACCAGGUCUUGACAUCCCGCUGACCGCUAUGGAGACAUAGCCUUCCCUUCGGGGACAGCGGUGACAGGUGGUGCAUGGUUGUCGUCAGCUCGUGUCGUGAGAUGUUGGGUUAAGUCCCGCAACGAGCGCAACCCUUGUCCUUAGUUGCCAUCAUUCAGUUGGGCACUCUAAGGAGACUGCCGGCUAAAAGUCGGAGGAAGGUGGGGAUGACGUCAAAUCAUCAUGCCCCUUAUGACCUGGGCUACACACGUGCCACAAUGGACGGUACAAACGGUUGCGAAGUCGCGAGAUGGAGCUAAUCCGAAAAAACCGUUCUCAGUUCGGAUUGCAGG